GGGGCGGUAGCUCAGCUGGGAGAGCGCCACAAUGGCAUUGUGGAGGCCGAGGGUUCGAAUCCCUUCCGCUCCACCC
This 76-nucleotide transfer RNA is filed under the name Planctomycetota bacterium. Its description in RNAcentral is "Planctomycetes bacterium (sediment metagenome) tRNA-Ala". It matches the Rfam family "tRNA". Rfam says of the family: Transfer RNA (tRNA) molecules are approximately 80 nucleotides in length. Their secondary structure includes four short double-helical elements and three loops (D, anti-codon, and T loops). Lineage: Bacteria; Pseudomonadati; Planctomycetota. The record is from RNAcentral.